RNAcentral lists this ribosomal RNA (496 nucleotides) under uncultured bacterium. Its description in RNAcentral is "partial 16S ribosomal RNA". It matches the Rfam family "Bacterial small subunit ribosomal RNA", at positions 28 to 506 of the family's 1533-position model. The record is from RNAcentral.
GAUGAACGCUGGCGGCGUGCCUAAUACAUGCAAGUCGAGCGAACAGACGAGGAGCUUGCUCCUCUGACGUUAGCGGCGGACGGGUGAGUAACACGUGGAUAACCUACCUAUAAGACUGGGAUAACUUCGGGAAACCGGAGCUAAUACCGGAUAAUAUAUUGAACCGCAUGGUUCAAUAGUGAAAGACGGUUUUGCUGUCACUUAUAGAUGGAUCCGCGCCGCAUUAGCUAGUUGGUAAGGUAACGGCUUACCAAGGCGACGAUGCGUAGCCGACCUGAGAGGGUGUUCGACCACCCUGGAAGUGGGACACGGCCCAACCUCCUACGGGGGGCAGCAGUAGGGAAUCUUCCGCAAUGGGCGAAAGCCUGACGGAGCAACGCCGGGGGAGUGAUGAAGGUUUUCGGAUCGUAAAACUCUGUUUUUAGGGAAAAACAAAUGUGUAAGUAACUAUGCACGUUUUGACGGUACCUAAUCAGAAAGCCACGGCUAACCACGU